This 170-nucleotide ribosomal RNA is filed under the name uncultured bacterium. RNAcentral describes it as "partial 16S ribosomal RNA". It matches the Rfam family "Bacterial small subunit ribosomal RNA", at positions 1332 to 1500 of the family's 1533-position model. The record is from RNAcentral.
UCGCUAGUAAUCGCGGAUCAGCAUGCCGCGGUGAAUACGUUCCCGGGCCUUGUACACACCGCCCGUCACACCAUGAGAGUCGGGAACACCCGAAGUCCGUAGCCUAACCGCGAAGGGGGGCGCGGCCGAAGGUGGGUUCGAUAAUUGGGGUGAAGUCGUAACAAGGUAUC